This 868-nucleotide long non-coding RNA is filed under the name Nicotiana benthamiana. RNAcentral describes it as "long non-coding RNA (NBEN_LNC005314)". The record is from RNAcentral. Lineage: Eukaryota; Viridiplantae; Streptophyta; Magnoliopsida; Solanales; Solanaceae.
AGCCAUCCAGAUGCCUGCAUACUUGAAUAAGCCAACUGUACUAGAGUAUAAACUCUGCCGGUCCUUAUCAUACCCUAUGCCGCAACCGCUUCUCCAAACUUGGUUUUUCCUUUCAUUCUUGCGUCGGUUGUGUAAUCACGUGGAAUGGCUUUUGUGUGGAAUGAUGUUAUGGUUGUCAUUGCUACCAGAAUGGGAACCCUUGCUUUGGGAGGUAAUACAACAACUUCAAAUGGUACAGAUGCCUUUGGGGACCCAAACUCGACCUCAAUUGGUGUUGGCAUCUUUGCGGAGGAUGGUGUUUUAAACUCAACUGGUACGGACAUGUUCAACUCGGCGUCUUCAGAAGUCUAAAUCUUGACCACAAUAGGUAUAAGGGUGACUAUUGGUUUCUUUGGAUCUUAACCUUCUGCAAUCAAUUUAAUAGAUCCCUUGGGGUCAAUCAUGUGAAUGCCUCCACCUUUGUGGUCUGGUAGAGGGUUAUUGCGGACAUUCGGAGGAAGCUCUUUUGCCACGAUGAUCUUGUUAUCAAUCAAAGCUUGGAUCUUAUCUUUCAGGGAGCGGCAUUCAUCAAUGGUAUGCCCUCUCAUACUAGAAUGAUAUGUACAUGUUUUAUUUGGAUUGACCAAUUGGGAAGGAUUUUCAUGGGUUAUAGCAGGGAUAGGGUGACAUAACAAACAGCUUUGAGCCUUUCACACAGCUGGUUGAUUGGUUCGACAAUGGUGGUAUAUUGUUGGGGACGUCUGGAUCGAAGUUUGGUCGGGAUCUAGGGAAGUUUUGGCGAGGCGGAGGUGAUUGAUAGUGGGCUUAUAUGGUGCUGUAGGCUUGGUAGGCGUGUGCGGGUUGGGAAUAUCUAGGUGAAGCAGGUUGG